This 431-nucleotide ribosomal RNA is filed under the name uncultured eukaryote. Its description in RNAcentral is "bacterial SSU rRNA". It matches the Rfam family "Eukaryotic small subunit ribosomal RNA", at positions 592 to 1018 of the family's 1831-position model. The record is from RNAcentral.
CAAUAGCGUAUAUUAAUGUUGUUGCAGUUAAAAAGCUCGUAGUCGGAUUUUGGGAGCAUGUUGCACUGUCUGCCGAUUGGUAUGUACGGUUUAACGGCUUCAUUCCUUGACAAAACUCUGGUGGGCCUUCAUUGGUCUACUUGUUGGGUUGUCGUCUUUUACUUUGAGAAAAUUAGAGUGUUCAAAGCAGGCUAUCGCCUUGAAUAUGUUAGCAUGGAAUAAUGAUAUAGGACUUUGGUUCUAUUUUGUUGGUUGUUCGAGAACCGAAGUAAUGAUUGAUAGGGACAGUUGGGGGCGAUCAGUAUUCUGAAGCGAGAGGUGAAAUUCUUGGACCUUCGGAAGACUAACAACUAGCGAAAGACAUUUGUCCUAGGAUGUUCUCUUUAAUUCAAGAACGAAAGUUGGGGGAGUCGAAGACGAUCAGAUACCAU